This 240-nucleotide unclassified non-coding RNA is filed under the name soil metagenome. RNAcentral's name for it is "partial contains 5.8S ribosomal RNA, internal transcribed spacer 2, and large subunit ribosomal RNA". The record is from RNAcentral.
AACUGAUACUACCUGCGGGAACCUGCGGAAGGAUCAUUACAGAGUUGCAAAACUCCAAACCAUUGUGAACUUACCUUUGCCGUUGCUUCGGCGGGCGGCCCGGGUCCCGACCCGGCGCCCCCCGGCCCCGUCAGGGGCGCCCGCCGGAGGUAAACCAAACUCUUGAAUUGUAUGGCCUCUCUGAGUCUUCUGUACUGAAUAAGUCAAAACUUUCAGCAAUGGAUCUCUAGAUCGGAAGAG